GAGUUCAUACUCACUCCGCAUUUGACCUAACCUAAUUCCUACCGUUAUAAAAUAAUGUUAACCCCUAAAAUCAAGGAAUAGAACUUAAUUCCCAAAAAAUGAAAAGAAGGCAGCGGCAAAUCCUCUGAAAAAUCCAUCUCCAUCGUCAUUUUUUGACAAGGAGGAAGCCAGCGAAAGGGCAUAAGAUGAAUCGGGUGCAAGCCCUCUUUCUCAACCAAAGAGCACUCUAAAACUAAAUCGAAAAUACUCCAAACAACCAACAAAAACCAGCUUGAAACCAAUCUCUUCCGCUAGCAACAAACAACCUCUAUUUACAGAAGCUACAAUCAAAAUUCGAGGUCGUCAGUGUUUUCCGUUCGCUAGCUUCAGUUCCGGUCUAGACGAAGAAGGAAGCAGUUGUGUUCCCUCGGUGGAUAGUGGAUUUGGUGACUAGAUGUACAGGAGUACCAUUUAUUGGAAAAGAUGAGGUAUAUUCUUUUACCUCAAUUUUUAAACUUCACGUUUUUUUUUGUUUGAAAAAAUGAGGAUAUACAUGAUUUGUUUGCUGGUUGUGUCAUACUCUACAUUUGGUUAAGAUAUUAUUUUUCGUUCUUCUUUUUGUGUUGCAAAUGAGAAUGAAGCUUUGUUUCUUAGCAUGAGCAUAUUAGUUAGUUUAAUUUAAUUUUCUUUAUUUA
Molecule: non-coding RNA, 674 nt
Organism: Nicotiana tabacum (common tobacco)
Lineage: Eukaryota; Viridiplantae; Streptophyta; Magnoliopsida; Solanales; Solanaceae
Source: RefSeq, a predicted model, not a curated record